GGAGAGUGCCCUGCGUGCCACGAAAG
RNAcentral lists this non-coding RNA (26 nucleotides) under Homo sapiens (human). The record is from RNAcentral. Lineage: Eukaryota; Metazoa; Chordata; Mammalia; Primates; Hominidae.